Molecule: ribosomal RNA, 415 nt
Filed under: uncultured prokaryote
Description: bacterial SSU rRNA
Rfam family: Bacterial small subunit ribosomal RNA
Source: RNAcentral
GUGCCAGCCGCCGCGGUAAGACGGAGGAGGCAAGCGUUAUCCGGAAUUAUUGGGCGUAAAGGGUCCGCAGGUGGCAGUUCAAGUCUGCAGUCAAAGGUCGGGGCUCAACCCCGGAAAGGCUGUGGAAACUGAACAGCUAGAGUACGGUAGGGGCAGAGGGAAUUCCCAGUGUAGCGGUGAAAUGCGUAGAGAUUGGGAAGAACACCGGUGGCGAAAGCGCUCUGCUAGGCCGAAACUGACACUGAGGGACGAAAGCUAGGGGAGCGAAAGGGAUUAGAUACCCCUGUAGUCCUAGCUGUAAACGAUGGAGACUAGGUGUGGCCUGUAUCGACCCGGGCCGUGCCGGAGCUAACGCGUUAAGUACCCCGCCUGGGGAGUACGCUCGCAAGAGUGAAACUUAAAUGAAUUGGCGGGG